UACGUAGGGAGCGAGCGCUAAUCGGAAUUACUGAUCGAAAAGCAUGCGCAAGCGCUUGUGCAAGACCGGCAUGAAAUCCCCGGACUCAACCUGGAAACUGCGCUUGUGACUGCGCAGCUAGAGCACGGCAGAGGGGGGUGCAAUUCCACGUGUAGCAGUGAAAUGCGAACAGAGGUGGAGGAACACCGAUGGAGAAGGCAGCCCCCUGGCCCGAUACUGACGCUCAUGCACGAACGCGUGAGAAGGACACAGGAUAACAGACCCUGGUAGUCCACGCCCUAUGCGAUGUCAACUAGGUGUUGGCCGGCAAAAACCAUUUAGAACCGAAGAUAACGCGGGAAGUUGAGCGCCUGGGGAGCACGAACGCAAGGCUAAAACUCCUAGGAAAUGACGGCAACGCGCACAAGCGGUGGAUGAUGUGGAUUAAUUCGAUGCAACGCGAAAAACCUUCCCUACCCUUGACAUGUCCAGAAGCCCGGAGAGAUUUGGGUGUGCCCGAAAGGGAACUGGAACACAGCGUGCUGCAUGGCUGUCGUCAGCUCGUGUCGUGAGAUGUUGGGUUAAGUUCCGCAUCGAGCGCAACCCUUGUCGUUAAUUGCCAUCAUUUAGUUGGGCACUUUAACGAGACCGCCGGUGACAAACCGGAGGAAGGUGGGGAGGACGUCAAGUCCUCAUGGCCCUUAUGGGUAGGGCUUCACACGUCAUACAAUGGUCGGUACAGAGGGUUGCCAAGCCGCGAGGUGGAGCCACUCCCAGAAAGCCGAUCGUAGUCCGGAUCGCAGGAUGCAACUUGCGUGCAUGAAGUCGGAAUCGGUAGUAAUCGCGGAUCAGCAUGUCGCGGUGAAUACGUUCCCGGGUCU
RNAcentral lists this ribosomal RNA (860 nucleotides) under uncultured bacterium. RNAcentral's name for it is "SSU rRNA". It matches the Rfam family "Bacterial small subunit ribosomal RNA", at positions 524 to 1381 of the family's 1533-position model. The record is from RNAcentral.